RNAcentral lists this ribosomal RNA (496 nucleotides) under uncultured bacterium. Its description in RNAcentral is "partial 16S ribosomal RNA". It matches the Rfam family "Bacterial small subunit ribosomal RNA", at positions 28 to 507 of the family's 1533-position model. The record is from RNAcentral.
GAUGAACGCUGGCGGCGUGCCUAAUACAUGCAAGUCGAGCGAACAGACGAGGAGCUUGCUCCUCUGACGUUAGCGGCGGACGGGUGAGUAACACGUGGAUAACCUACCUAUAGACUGGGAUAACUUCGGGAAACCGGAGCUAAUACCGGAUAAUAUAUUGAACCGCAUGGUUCAAUAGUGAAAGACGGUUUUGCUGUCCCUUAUAGAUGGAUCCGCGCCGCAUUAGCUAGUUGGUAAGGUAACGGCUUACCAAGGCAACGAUGCGUAGCCGACCUGAGAGGGUGAUCGGCCACACUGGAACUGAGACACGGUCCAGACUCCUACGGGAGGCAGCAGUAGGGAAUCUUCCGCAAUGGGCGAAAGCCUGACGGAGCAACGCCGCGUGAGUGAUGAAGGUCUUCGGAUCGUAAAACUCUGUUAUUAGGGAAGAACAAAUGUGUAAGUAACUAUGCACGUCUUGACGGUACCUAAUCAGAAAGCCACGGCUAACUACGUG